Molecule: microRNA precursor, 72 nt
Filed under: Myotis brandtii (Brandt's bat)
Lineage: Eukaryota; Metazoa; Chordata; Mammalia; Chiroptera; Vespertilionidae
Description: mir-9193 microRNA precursor family
Rfam family: mir-9193 microRNA precursor family
Source: Rfam by way of RNAcentral
UUUGGGAGGGGGGUCCCUCAGCCCAGAUUGCAAGAGGGUGCAGGCCAGGCCGAGGGACCCCACCGGUGCACA